UGAUAAGGUGUUAUAAUAAGCAGAUGUU
This 28-nucleotide non-coding RNA is filed under the name Rattus norvegicus (Norway rat). Lineage: Eukaryota; Metazoa; Chordata; Mammalia; Rodentia; Muridae. The record is from RNAcentral.